CGCGGCCUAUCAGCUUGUUGGUGGGGUAGUGGCCUACCAAGGCGACGACGGGUAGCCGGCCUGAGAGGGCGACCGGCCACACUGGGACUGAGACACGGCCCAGACUCCUACGGGAGGCAGCAGUGGGGAAUAUUGCGCAAUGGGCGAAAGCCUGACGCAGCGACGCCGCGUGAGGGAUGACGGCCUUCGGAUUGUAAACCUCUUUCAGCUCCGACGAAGCCUUCGGGUGACGGUAGGGGCAGAAGAAGCACCGGCCAACUACGUGCCAGCAGCCGCGGUAAUACGUAGGGUGCAAGCGUUGUCCGGAAUUAUUGGGCGUAAAGAGCUCGUAGGCGGUUUGUCGCGUCGACUGUGAAAACUCAGGGGCUCAACUCCGAGCUUGCAGUUGAUACGGGCAGACUAGAGUUCGGCAGGGGAGGCUGGAAUUCCUGGUGUAGCGGUGAAAUGCGCAGAUAUCGGGAGGAACACCGGUGGCGAAGGCGGGUCUCUGGGCCGAUACUGACGCUGAGGAGCGAAAGCGUGGGGAGCAAACAGAAUUAGAUACCCUGGUAGUCCACGCCGUAAACGGUGGGUGCUAGGUGUGAGCGGUAUUCCACGCCGUUCGUGCCGCAGCUAACGCAUUAAGCGCCCCGCCUGGGGAGUACGGA
RNAcentral lists this ribosomal RNA (647 nucleotides) under uncultured Actinomycetes bacterium. RNAcentral describes it as "bacterial SSU rRNA". It matches the Rfam family "Bacterial small subunit ribosomal RNA", at positions 232 to 886 of the family's 1533-position model. Lineage: Bacteria; Bacillati; Actinomycetota; Actinomycetes. The record is from RNAcentral.